UCAUCACGGUGAUCUAUUAGUGGGAGGUAUUCCAGAAAGUGUGUUCAUUGAAAACUGACUUGAUCCAGAAACGGAGUCAGUUACCAAAGUAACAUUGACAUAACGCUCCAACAUUCAGAUAUUACACAAUGUAACCUUUUUAAUUUGUUUUUUAACCAAAUUAAAGUACUUUCCCAUUAUUUGUCCAGAUGUCACAGAUGAUGAUGAUGAGAGUGAGGAGGAACAAACAUUCACAACAAACAUUCACAACAAAGCAGAGGUAGAUUGUCCUCGUGAACUGAACGACAUGGACACUCCUGAUGCAGAUGGACUCCCUCCUGUACAUAAUGUACGCAAAGACAAGACACGAAGACCAUGGACCAAAGCAGAAGAAAAAGCUGUGCUGAGACAUUUCAAGUCUCACAUAAUUAAAGGUCAUUUAGCAUCAA
Etheostoma spectabile (orangethroat darter) is the source of this 428-nucleotide long non-coding RNA. RefSeq lists it as uncharacterized. NCBI's taxonomy places the organism in Eukaryota, Metazoa, Chordata, Actinopteri, Perciformes, Percidae. The transcript has 3 exons. The record is from RefSeq and is a predicted model, not a curated record.